This 484-nucleotide ribosomal RNA is filed under the name uncultured Thauera sp. RNAcentral's name for it is "bacterial SSU rRNA". It matches the Rfam family "Bacterial small subunit ribosomal RNA", at positions 896 to 1382 of the family's 1533-position model. Lineage: Bacteria; Pseudomonadati; Pseudomonadota; Betaproteobacteria; Rhodocyclales; Zoogloeaceae. The record is from RNAcentral.
GAAACUCAAAUGAAUUGACGGGGACCCGCACAAGCGGUGGAUGAUGUGGAUUAAUUCGAUGCAACGCGAAAACCUUACCUACCCUUGACAUGUCUGGAACCUUGGUGAGAGCCGAGGGUGCCUUCGGGAGCCAGAACACAGGUGCUGCAUGGCUGUCGUCAGCUCGUGUCGUGAGAUGUUGGGUUAAGUCCCGCAACGAGCGCAACCCUUGUCACCAGUUGCCAUCAUUUGGUUGGGCACUCUAGUGAGACUGCCGGUGACAAACCGGAGGAAGGUGGGGAUGACGUCAAGUCCUCAUGGCCCUUAUGGGUGGGGCUACACACGUCAUACAAUGGCUGGUACAAAGGGUUGCCAACCCGCGAGGGGGAGCCAAUCCCAUAAAGCCAGUCGUAGUCCGGAUCGUAGUCUGCAACUCGACUACGUGAAGUCGGAAUCGCUAGUAAUCGUGGAUCAGAAUGUCACGGUGAAUACGUUCCCGGGUCUU